Molecule: long non-coding RNA, 340 nt
Organism: Brassica oleracea var. oleracea
Lineage: Eukaryota; Viridiplantae; Streptophyta; Magnoliopsida; Brassicales; Brassicaceae
Exons: 3
Source: RefSeq, a predicted model, not a curated record
UGCGAAUUGAGAUGGAGACAAGUCUCGUGUUUCUUUAUGUCACAUCAACUUUGUGUGUGGAAUUAAGAUUACAACGAGAAGGACUCCAAAACACACAGCGGAAUGGUUGACAACACUAUUGCAAUUAUGAGCCACCCUAUUCCAAACACCAACGACCCUUGUUCAGUUGGCCCACAAAUCAGACAUGUAUGUCUUCUGUUGUUCGUACUCCCACAACGUGGCCCCCCAAGGGAAAGUUCAUCAUCGCAUUUGUUUCUAUCAGAUGCAGAGACUGAUAACCCUCAACCCUGAAGCAAGCUUCAUAUGAUUGAUAACGACGGUCUUUAGUAGAGCAAUUUUC